GACGAACGCUGGCGGCGUGCCUAAUACAUGCAAGUAGAACGCACAGUUUAUACCGUAGCUUGCUACACCAUAAACUGUGAGUUGCGAACGGGCGAGUAACGCGUAGGUAACCUGCCUGGUAGCGGGGGAUAACUAUUGGAAACGAUAGCUAAUACCGCAUAAUAUUGAUUAUUGCAUGAUAAUUGAUUGAAAGAUGCUAUUGCAUCACUACCAGAUGGACCUGCGUUGUAUUAGCUAGUAGGUGAGGUAACGGCUCACCUAGGCGACGAUACAUAGCCGACCUGAGAGGGUGAUCGGCCACACUGGGACUGAGACACGGCCCAGACUCCUACGGGAGGCAGCAGUAGGGAAUCUUCGGCAAUGGACGAAAGUCUGACCGAGCAACGCCGCGUGAGUGAAGAAGGUUUUCGGAUCGUAAAGCUCUGUUGUAAGAGAAGAACGGGUGUGAGAGUGGAAAGUUCACACUGUGACGGUAUCUUACCAGAAAGGGACGGCUAACUACGU
Molecule: ribosomal RNA, 504 nt
Filed under: uncultured bacterium
Lineage: Bacteria
Description: partial 16S ribosomal RNA
Rfam family: Bacterial small subunit ribosomal RNA
Source: RNAcentral